CAAGUUUUCAAAUCUUUACUCUUUGCUGAUUUUGCAGUGAAAACAACUUCUAGCAAUUUCAGAGAAAGGCUUUUGAGUUCCACUUGACACACAUACACACACUCUCUCUCUCUACUGGUAAAGGAAGUGGCUUUGGGAUCCUAACCCACUCAUCUUAUCCAAUUUACGCUGCCCAUCUCUCGAAAUCCCCAGGUUUCUACCGUCUGCUAUUUUCUUCGACGCAAUCCCCUAAUUUCAAGGUCGUGGAAGCGGUGAGAUUUGAUGGCUUGAUAAUGGAUAGUGUGGAAUUAUUAUAGAGAGGGAGAAAGUUUAUGGUGUGCACUAUCCCUUAUCAGGAUUCUGAGGUAAAGCACAAUAAUUUAUUUUCAUUUAUAUAUCUGGGAAUUGGUGUUUCGUUGAAGAGGCUGCUGCAGACUUUCUGUUUUGAAGUCAAGAGAGAAGUUUCUCAUCUUUUUCCAAACAAUUUUUGUUUGUUUGCAUCUGAGUUCAUUCUGAGAAUCUUAGAACCAUAUAAUUUUGGAUUUCGACUGCAUAUGGGCUCUCCUUUGGAGCUUCAAAUGUUGUAAGCCAUGGGAGAGUGGAUCAUUGGAGGUUUCAUCAAUCUAUUUGACAACAUUGCCAUUAACUUUGGGACUAACCUUCUUCAAUUGGGUCACACUGAGACGUCAACUGCGAUACCUUCACAUCUUCACAUAAUGUAAUGAGCUUCAAUGAGUCUGGCUAAAUUAUAUUCACAGAGAGAGGCAUUCUACUCUAGACACUGAUGGAACUAGUGGGAAGAGUCAUUUGAAGCCU
This 795-nucleotide unclassified non-coding RNA is filed under the name Hevea brasiliensis (rubber tree). The record is from RNAcentral. Lineage: Eukaryota; Viridiplantae; Streptophyta; Magnoliopsida; Malpighiales; Euphorbiaceae.